GAUGAACGCUAGCUACAGGCUUAACACAUGCAAGUCGAGGGGCAGCGGUAUCGAAAGCUUGCUUUCGGUAGCCGGCGACCGGCGCACGGGUGAGUAACGCGUAUCGAACCUGCCUCAUACUCGGGAAUAGCCUUGCGAAAGUAAGAUUAAUGCCCGGUGUUUUCAGAGUCCCGCAUGAGGCUUUGAACAAAGAUUUAUCGGUAUGAGAUGGCGAUGCGUCCCAUUAGCUUGUUGGCGGGGUAACGGACCACCAAGGCAUCGAUGGGUAGGGGUUCUGAGAGGAAGGUCCCCCACAUUGGAACUGAGACACGGUCCAAACUCCUACGGGAGGCAGCAGUGAGGAAUAUUGGUCAAUGGGCGGAAGCCUGAACCAGCCAAGUAGCGUGCAGGAAGACGGCCCUCCGGGUUGUAAACUGCUUUUAGUUGGGAAUAAAACGGGGCUCGUGAGCCCCCUUGCAUGUACCAUCAGAAAAAGGACCGGCUAAUUCCGUG
RNAcentral lists this ribosomal RNA (492 nucleotides) under uncultured bacterium. RNAcentral's name for it is "partial 16S ribosomal RNA". It matches the Rfam family "Bacterial small subunit ribosomal RNA", at positions 28 to 507 of the family's 1533-position model. The record is from RNAcentral.